RNAcentral lists this ribosomal RNA (301 nucleotides) under uncultured bacterium. RNAcentral's name for it is "partial 16S ribosomal RNA". It matches the Rfam family "Bacterial small subunit ribosomal RNA", at positions 509 to 809 of the family's 1533-position model. The record is from RNAcentral.
CAGCAGCCACGGUAAUACGGAGGGUGCAAGCGUUAAUCGGAAUUACUGGGCGUAAAGCGCACGCAGGCGGUCUGUCAAGUCAGAUGUGAAAUCCCCGGUCUUAACCUGGGAACUGCAUUUGAAACUGGCAGGCUAGAGUCUUGUAGAGGGGGGUAGAAUUCCAGGUGUAGCGGUGAAAUGCGUAGAGAUCUGGAGGAAUACCGGUGGCGAAGGCGGCCCCCUGGACAAAGACUGACGCUCAGGUGCGAAAGCGUGGGGAGCAAACAGGAUUAGAUACCCCAGUAGUCCCUGUCUCUUAUCC